RNAcentral lists this ribosomal RNA (252 nucleotides) under uncultured bacterium. RNAcentral's name for it is "partial 16S ribosomal RNA". It matches the Rfam family "Bacterial small subunit ribosomal RNA", at positions 524 to 776 of the family's 1533-position model. The record is from RNAcentral.
UACGUAGGGUGCGAGCGUUGUCCGGAAUUACUGGGCGUAAAGAGCUCGUAGGUGGUUUGUCGCGUUGUUCGUGAAAACUCACAGCUUAACUGUGGGCGUGCGGGCGAUACGGGCAGACUGGAGUACUGCGGGGAGACUGGAAUUCCUGGUGUAGCGGUGGAAUGCGCAGAUAUCAGGAGGAACACCGGUGGCGAAGGCGGGUCUCUGGGCAGUAACUGACGCUGAGGAGCGAAAGCGUGGGGAGCGAACAGG